This 242-nucleotide ribosomal RNA is filed under the name uncultured bacterium. RNAcentral describes it as "partial 16S ribosomal RNA". It matches the Rfam family "Bacterial small subunit ribosomal RNA", at positions 29 to 258 of the family's 1533-position model. The record is from RNAcentral.
AACGAACGCUGGCGGCGUGCCUAACACAUGCAAGUCGAGCGCGAAUGGAGCAAUCCUAGUAGAGCGGCGCACGGGUGCGUAACACGUGGGUAAUCUGCCUCAAAGCCCGGGAUAACCUGCCGAAAGGCAAGCUAAUACCGGAUAAGCCUACGGACUCUUCGGGGUCUGAAGGAAAAGGUGGCCUCUGUAUACAAGCUAUCACUUUGAGAUGAGCCCGCGGCCCAUCAGCUCGUUGGCGGGGU